AGGAACGUUGAAGACGACGACGUUGAUAGGCCGGGCGUGUAAGCGCAGCGAUGCGUUGAGCUAACCGGUACUAAUGAACCGUGAGGCUUAACCUU
This 95-nucleotide ribosomal RNA is filed under the name Salmonella enterica. RNAcentral's name for it is "partial 23S ribosomal RNA". It matches the Rfam family "Bacterial large subunit ribosomal RNA", at positions 2831 to 2925 of the family's 2925-position model. Lineage: Bacteria; Pseudomonadati; Pseudomonadota; Gammaproteobacteria; Enterobacterales; Enterobacteriaceae. The record is from RNAcentral.